RNAcentral lists this small RNA (594 nucleotides) under Pongo abelii (Sumatran orangutan). Its description in RNAcentral is "processed transcript". Lineage: Eukaryota; Metazoa; Chordata; Mammalia; Primates; Hominidae. The record is from RNAcentral.
GAAGGUGGAGUCUCCAGCCAUCCAGCUACAAGCUAGGAAGACACCUUGUAGAAGGCUCCUUACAGGGAGGAAACCGAGUCGGAAAGGCGAGGCAGCAGUGUGGGCUCACCCGGAGCAAGACGUGUGAAAUCAGCCUUUGACAGCGUGGCUGAAUGAGGAUCUGGAGAUGCGAGGCACUGGGCAGACUCUGACUAGAUCCCUGGAUACGAAGAGGCAAAGCCAGCUCUAGAGGGAUUCAUAUCCUCCCGAGAGCUGGAUGACAGCAGCAGUGAGUCCAGUGACCUCCAGCUGGAAGGCCCCAGCACCCUCAGGGUCCUGGACGAGAACCUUGCUGACCCCCGAGCAGAAGACAGACCUCUGGUUUUCUUUGACCUCAAGAUUGACAAUGAAAGUGGGUUCUCCUGGGGCUACCCCCACCCCUUUCUAACUUAGUCUCUGAGUCCCAGAAAGAAGUGCAGGCAGAGCCAUCUGCCAGGCCCAGGAGAGCUCUGAGCUCUGGCCAACAACUGCAGCCAGGCUGGGCAGAGCACUCCGGCUCACCUGGGCUCCUGGCGUGUCAUUUGCUGGCUUGAAUAAAGAUGUCCACUUUAUCCA